AUUCCCAGGAGUUUCCACUUGGUGACCAGCACUGAACACAGACCACCAGCAAUGGAGUUUGGGCUGAGCUGGGUUUUCCUUGUUGCUAUUUUGAAAGGUGUCCAGUGUGAGGUGCAGCUGGUGGAGUCUGGGGGAGGCUUGGUCCAGCCUGGCGGGUCCCUGAGACUCUCCUGUGCAGCCUCUGGAUUCACCUUCAGUGACUACUACAUGUACUGAGUCCGCCAGGCUCCAGGGAAGGGGCCGGAGUGGGUAGGUUUCAUUAGAAGCAAAGCUUACGGUGGGACAACAGAAUACGCCGCGUCUGUGAAAGGCAGAUUCACCAUCUCCAGAGAUGAUUCAAAGAACACGGCGUAUCUGCAAAUGAACAGCCUGAAAACCGAGGACACGGCCGUGUAUUACUGUACUAGGGACACAGUGAGGCGGGGUCAGUGUGAGCCCAGACACAAACCUCCCUGCAGGGGUCCCCGUGACCACCAGGGGGCGCCCGUCCUGAGACUUCCUGUGCAGCCUCUGGAUUCACCUUCAGUGACUACUUGCUACAUGGUACUGAGUCCGCCAGGCUCCAGGGAAGGGGCCGGAGUGGUGAGGUUUCUCAUUAGAAGCAAAGCUUACGUGACAACAGAAUACGCCAAGGCCUGUGGAAGGUGCAGAUUCACCAUCUCCAGAGAUGAUUCAAAGCAACACGGCGAUUCAUGCAAAUGA
Non-coding RNA from Chlorocebus sabaeus (green monkey), 702 nucleotides. The record is from the annotation of a RefSeq genome assembly. NCBI's taxonomy places the organism in Eukaryota, Metazoa, Chordata, Mammalia, Primates, Cercopithecidae.